UACGUAGGGUGCAAGCGUUAAUCGGAAUUACUGGGCGUAAAGCGUGCGCAGGCGGUGAUGUAAGACAGAUGUGAAAUCCCAGGGCUCAACCUUGGAACUGCAUUUGUGACUGCAUCGCUGGAGUGCGGCAGAGGGGGAUGGAAUUCCGCGUGUAGCAGUGAAAUGCGUAGAUAUGCGGAGGAACACCGAUGGCGAAGGCAAUCCCCUGGGCCUGCACUGACGCUCAGUGCACGAAAGCGUGGGGAGCAAACAGG
This 254-nucleotide ribosomal RNA is filed under the name uncultured bacterium. RNAcentral's name for it is "partial 16S ribosomal RNA". It matches the Rfam family "Bacterial small subunit ribosomal RNA", at positions 524 to 776 of the family's 1533-position model. The record is from RNAcentral.